UCGCGGCCUAUCAGCUCGUUGGUGGUGUGAUGGCCUACCAAGGCGACGACGGGUAGCCGGCCUGAGAGGGUGUCCGGCCACACUGGGACUGAGAUACGGCCCAGACUCCUACGGGAGGCAGCAGUGGGGAAUAUUGCACAAUGGGCGCAAGCCUGAUGCAGCGACGCCGCGUGGGGGAUGACGGCCUUCGGGUUGUAAACCUCUUUCACCAUCGACGAAGGUCCGGGUUUUCUCGGAUUGACGGUAGGUGGAGAAGAAGCACCGGCCAACUACGUGCCAGCAGCCGCGGUAAUACGUAGGGUGCGAGCGUUGUCCGGAAUUACUGGGCGUAAAGAGCUCGUAGGUGGUUUGUCGCGUUGUUCGUGAAAUCUCACGGCUUAACUGUGAGCGUGCGGGCGAUACGGGCAGACUAGAGUACUGCAGGGGAGACUGGAAUUCCUGGUGUAGCGGUGGAAUGCGCAGAUAUCAGGAGGAACACCGGUGGCGAAGGCGGGUCUCUGGGCAGUAACUGACACUGAGGAGCGAAAGCGUGGGGAGCGAACAGGAUUAGAUACCCUGGUAGUCCACGCCGUAAACGGUGGGUACUAGGUGUGGGUUUCCUUCCUUGGGAUCCGUGCCGCAGCUAACGCAUUAAGUACCCCGCCUGGGGAGUACA
This 655-nucleotide ribosomal RNA is filed under the name uncultured bacterium. Its description in RNAcentral is "bacterial SSU rRNA". It matches the Rfam family "Bacterial small subunit ribosomal RNA", at positions 231 to 884 of the family's 1533-position model. The record is from RNAcentral.